This 440-nucleotide ribosomal RNA is filed under the name uncultured bacterium. Its description in RNAcentral is "bacterial SSU rRNA". It matches the Rfam family "Bacterial small subunit ribosomal RNA", at positions 28 to 481 of the family's 1533-position model. The record is from RNAcentral.
GACGAACGCUGGCGGCGUGCUUAACACAUGCAAGUCGAGCGGUAAGGCCCUUUCGGGGGUACACGAGCGGCGAACGGGUGAGUAACACGUGGGUGACCUGCCCUCAGCUCUGGGAUAAGCCCGGGAAACUGGGUCUGAUACUGGAUAUGACUCCAUGACGCAUGUUGUGGGGUGGAAAGCCUUGUGCGGCUGAGGAUGGGCCCGCGGCCUAUCAGCUUGUUGGGGGGUGAUGGCCUACCAAGGCGACGACGGGUAGCCGGCCUGAGAGGGCGACCGGCCACACUGGGACUGAGACACGGCCCAGACUCCUACGGGAGGCAGCAGUGGGGAAUCUUGCGCAAUGGGCGAAAGCCUGACGCAGCGACGCCGCGUGAGGGAUGACCGGCCCUCGGGUUAGUAAACCUCUUUCAGCUCCGACGAAGCGGAAGUGACGGUAGGAG